AUUGAACGCUGGCGGCAGGCCUAACACAUGCAAGUCGAGCGGAUGAAGGGAGCUUGCUCUUGGAUUCAGCGGCGGACGGGUGAGUAAUGCCUAGGAAUCUGCCUGGUAGUUGGGGAUAACGUCCGGAAACGGGCGCUAAUACCGCAUACGUCCUGAGGGAGAAAGUGGGGGAUCUUUGGACCUCACGCUAUCAGAUGAGCCUAGGUCGGAUUAGCUAGUUGGUGGGGUAAAGGCCUACCAAGGCGACGAUCCGUAACUGGUCUGAGAGGAUGAUCAGUCACACUGGAACUGAGACACGGUCCAGACUCCUACGGGAGGCAGCAGUGGGGAAUAUUGGACAAUGGGCGAAAGCCUGAUCCAGCCAUGCCGCGUGUGUGAAGAAGGUCUUCGGAUUGUAAAGCACUUUAAGUUGGGAGGAAGGGCAGUAAGUUAAUACCUUGCUGUUUUGACGUUACCAACAGAAUAAGCACCGGCUAACUUCGUG
Molecule: ribosomal RNA, 484 nt
Filed under: uncultured bacterium
Lineage: Bacteria
Description: partial 16S ribosomal RNA
Rfam family: Bacterial small subunit ribosomal RNA
Source: RNAcentral